GACGAACGCUGGCGGCGUGCUUAACACAUGCAAGUCGAACGGAAAGGCCCUGCUUUUGUUGGGUGCUCGAGUGGCGAACGGGUGAGUAACACGUGAGUAACCUGCCCUUGUCUUUGGGAUAACUUCAGGAAACUGGGGCUAAUACCGGAUAGGAGCUCCUGCUGCAUGGUGUGGGUUGGAAAGUUUCGGCGGUUGGGGAUGGACUCGCGGCUUAUCAGCUUGUUGGUGGGGUAGUUGCUUACCAAGGCUUUGACGGGUAGCCGGCCUGAGAGGGUGACCGGCCACAUUGGGACUGAGAGACGGACCAGACUCCUACGGGAGGCAGCAGUGGGGAAUAUUGCACAAUGGGCGGAAGCCUGAUGCAGCAAUGCCGCGUGCGGGAUGACGGCCUUCGGGUUGUAAACCGCUGUGGCCUGUGACGAAGAGUGAGUGACGGUAAUGGGUAAAGAAGCACCGGCUAACUACGUG
This 468-nucleotide ribosomal RNA is filed under the name uncultured bacterium. RNAcentral's name for it is "partial 16S ribosomal RNA". It matches the Rfam family "Bacterial small subunit ribosomal RNA", at positions 28 to 507 of the family's 1533-position model. The record is from RNAcentral.